This 491-nucleotide ribosomal RNA is filed under the name Caulerpa racemosa f. macrophysa. RNAcentral's name for it is "bacterial SSU rRNA". It matches the Rfam family "Eukaryotic small subunit ribosomal RNA", at positions 1447 to 1831 of the family's 1831-position model. Lineage: Eukaryota; Viridiplantae; Chlorophyta; Ulvophyceae; Bryopsidales; Caulerpaceae. The record is from RNAcentral.
GAGGCAAUAAUAGGUCUGUGAUGCCCUUAGUUAUCCUAGGUCGCACGCGCCAUACAAUGUGGCGCACAACGAGUUUCCUAGGCCGAUAGGAUUGUCUCUUAGCCUGUGUUUGUGGGACCGAGGCAAUAUCAUUGCACACGGUAGUUUCGAUCAUGUGUCGUUGCUUAUUUGUGAUGCUGGUGGUUUUGUCUCAGCUAAGAGACUCUGGGCAAUCUGAGAGAGCGCUACGUGACUGGGCUAGACUUUUGUAAUUGUUGGUCUUGAACGAGGAAUGCCUAGUAAUCGUAGGUCAUUAUCCUGCGAUGAUUAUGUCCCUGCCCUUUGUACACACCGCCCGUCGCUCCUGCCGUGGCUCGUGCCGGUGAAGAGGGGGAGGCAGCGUCAACGGAGUAACAUCUGAUUGUACGUGGAACCCCUCUGAACCUUCGCGAGUAGAGGAAGGAGAAGUCGUAACAAGGUUUUCGUAGGUGAACCUGCGAAAGGAUCAUUAU